UAAGGGAAAGAAAGUGUGAAGGAUUAGGCAUUGGCAUUGUUUGAUUGAGAGUGAGUGUGGAAGUGGGAUUGAUGGUUGUAUCCUGAUUAGGUUGAGAUGCAGCAUCUGAUGUAGCCGUAGGAAUAGAAAAGAAAAGAAAAUAAUAACGAUAGAGAUCAGAAGAUAAGAAAAGGAAUAGGAUCAGUAAAGCUCUGAUACCAUAUAAAGUUUAGAUUUCC
Molecule: long non-coding RNA, 218 nt
Filed under: Prunus persica (peach)
Lineage: Eukaryota; Viridiplantae; Streptophyta; Magnoliopsida; Rosales; Rosaceae
Description: long non-coding RNA (PPER_LNC004225)
Source: RNAcentral